GGGGCACCGUUCUCAGAGUCGCGGGAAUAUGGCGGACGCAUGGUUGGGACCCCUGAUAAUCAUGGCAAAGCCUCUCCUCCUCCACACUCCCAAUUUCACCUUCUUAUUCUCUUUCAAUUCAAAACGCAAAUCCAAACCUCUCUCCAUGGCUGCCUCCCUUCAAUGCUCUUCUUCCACCCCCAUCUCAAGCCCUAUGCCCAACCAGCCUUCUCUUCUCGUCUUCUCAGGUGGUACUGCAUUUAAUGGAGUUGUGGAGGAGCUUAAGAAUUUAACUACUCGCAUUGCUCAUGUUCUGCCUGUUUCUGACGAUGGAGGCAGUACCGCUGAGAUUGUCCGUGUGCUUGGUGGUCCUGCUGUUGGAGACAUUCGGUCAAGAUGUUUAAGAUUGUCUGAUCAAAGUACUGCUGAGGCUCUUGCCGUCCGAAGAUUGCUUGGUCAUCGUUUACCUCUUGAAGCGCCUCAAGCCAAGUCAGAAUGGUAUGAUAUUGUAGAAGGAGAACACCCUUUAUGGACAGGUGUAUCAAGACCAUACAGAGAAACAAUUCGAGCUUUUCUGGUUUAUUUCCAAAAUGAGGAUUCGGGGAAGGAGCAGAGCCAUCGAAGAAGGAGCAGCGCCAUCGGGGAAGGGAGGCUAAUUGGCAGAGCAUUGGAUGGGGAAGGAAGCAGAGACCAGUCACCUCCCAUCGCCGGCACGCUGCUGCACCAC
This 706-nucleotide unclassified non-coding RNA is filed under the name Hevea brasiliensis (rubber tree). The record is from RNAcentral. Lineage: Eukaryota; Viridiplantae; Streptophyta; Magnoliopsida; Malpighiales; Euphorbiaceae.